Molecule: transfer RNA, 73 nt
Filed under: Mus musculus (house mouse)
Lineage: Eukaryota; Metazoa; Chordata; Mammalia; Rodentia; Muridae
Description: tRNA-Ser
Source: RNAcentral
GGAGAGAUGGCUCAGUGGUGAAGAGCACUGACUGCUCUUCUAGAGGUCUUGAGUUCAAUUCCCAGCAACUACA